GAGGACCGUAUUCAUGGAAGAGGAUUGAACAGAAGACUACUGAGUUCUUAAGAGAAAAAUGGCACUUAAGAAAUUGAUGGUGAUAUCAAAGGAAGGUUACUUAUUACUCUUGGACUUUGAUGAUGAGGACGAUGACAUAAAAGUUUCAGAGGAGGCUCUUGCGGAAGAGAUGAAGUAGACAGUAUGUUGGAUAAAUCUGGAGUAAAGAACCCAGCAAUUGGUAAAGAUGAGAAUAUAUCGCCUCAAGUAAAAGGAGAUGAAGACAUGGGAGAUGAAAUUGACAGUAUGUUGGCUACAUCUGGAGAUGUGUGCAGCUGAACAGAGCGUUGAGGAAACGUCAGUGAUUUUAUAACUACUUAUCAUGUUGGGAGAUUGUUGUGAUGAUUGCCUGGACUCUCAGAUGUUACACAGGCUGCAUCAUUGGACUGAAAGUGAAUGGCCCAUGUGUUGCCACUGAUGUGAGCCAUUUGCCUGUUGUGCUUCA
RNAcentral lists this non-coding RNA (484 nucleotides) under Mus musculus (house mouse). Lineage: Eukaryota; Metazoa; Chordata; Mammalia; Rodentia; Muridae. The record is from RNAcentral.